GAACGCUGGCGGCAGGCCUAACACAUGCAAGUCGAGCGGUAACAGAUCUAGCUUGCUAGAUGCUGACGAGCGGCGGACGGGUGAGUAAUGCAUAGGAAUCUGCCCGAUAGUGGGGGAUAACCUGGGGAAACCCAGGCUAAUACCGCAUACGUCCUACGGGAGAAAGGGGGCUCCGGCUCCCGCUAUGGGAUGAGCCUAUGUCGGAUUAGCUAGUUGGUGAGGUAACGGCUCACCAAGGCCACGAUCCGUAGCUGGUCUGAGAGGGUGAUCAGCCACAUCGGGACUGAGACACGGCCCGAACUCCUACGGGAGGCAGCAGUGGGGAAUAUUGGACAAUGGGGGAAACCCUGAUCCAGCCAUGCCGCGUGUGUGAAGAAGGCCCUCGGGUUGUAAAGCACUUUCAGCGAGGAAGAACGCCUAGCGGUUAAUACCCGCUAGGAAAGACAUCACUCGCAGAAGAAGCACCGGCUAACUCCGUGCCAGCAGCCGCGGUAAUACGGAGGGUGCAAGCGUUAAUCGGAAUUACUGGGCGUAAAGCGCGCGUAGGUGGCUUGAUAAGCCGGUUGUGAAAGCCCCGGGCUCAACCUGGGAACGGCAUCCGGAACUGUCAAGCUAGAGUGCAGGAAAGGAAGGUAGAAUUCCCGGUGUAGCGGUGAAAUGCGUAGAGAUCGGGAGGAAUACCAGUGGCGAAGGCGGCCUUCUGGACUGACACUGACACUGAGGUGCGAAAGCGUGGGUAGCAAACAGGAUUAGAUAC
RNAcentral lists this ribosomal RNA (757 nucleotides) under uncultured bacterium. RNAcentral's name for it is "bacterial SSU rRNA". It matches the Rfam family "Bacterial small subunit ribosomal RNA", at positions 31 to 785 of the family's 1533-position model. The record is from RNAcentral.